UGGGGAAUAUUGGACAAUGGGGGAAACCCUGAUCCAGCAAUGCCGCGUGAGUGAAGAAGGCCUUAGGGUUGUAAAGCUCUUUCGCCCGCGAAGAUAAUGACGGUAGCGGGAGAAGAAGCCCCGGCUAACUCCGUGCCAGCAGCCGCGGUAAUACGGAGGGGGCUAGCGUUGUUCGGAAUUACUGGGCGUAAAGCGUACGUAGGCGGAUGCGCAAGUUGGGGGUGAAAUCCUGGGGCUUAACCUCGGAAUUGCCCUCAAAACUGCACGUCUUGAGGCCGAGAGAGGUAAGGGGAAUUCCGAGUGUAGAGGUGAAAUUCGUAGAUAUUAGGAAGAACACCAGUGGCGAAGGCGCCUUAUUGGCUCGGUACUGACGCUGAGGUACGAAAGCGUGGGGAGCAAACA
RNAcentral lists this ribosomal RNA (402 nucleotides) under uncultured bacterium. RNAcentral describes it as "bacterial SSU rRNA". It matches the Rfam family "Bacterial small subunit ribosomal RNA", at positions 355 to 774 of the family's 1533-position model. The record is from RNAcentral.